This 496-nucleotide ribosomal RNA is filed under the name uncultured bacterium. RNAcentral describes it as "partial 16S ribosomal RNA". It matches the Rfam family "Bacterial small subunit ribosomal RNA", at positions 29 to 507 of the family's 1533-position model. The record is from RNAcentral.
AUGAACGCUGGCGGCGUGCCUAAUACAUGCAAGUCGAGCGAACGGACGAGAAGCUUGCUUCUCUGAUGUUAGCGGCGGACGGGUGAGUAACACGUGGAUAACCUACCUAUAAGACUGGGAUAACUUCGGGAAACCGUAGCUAAUACCGGAUAAUAUUUUGAACCGCCUGGUUCAAAAGUGAAAGACGGUCUUGCUGUCACUUAUAGAUGGAUCCGCGCUGCAUUAGCUAGUUGGUAAGGUAACGGCUUACCAAGGCAACGAUGCAUAGCCGACCUGAGAGGGUGAUCGGCCACACUGGAACUGAGACACGGUCCAGACUCCUACGGGAGGCAGCAGUAGGGAAUCUUCCGCAAAGGGCGAAAGCCUGACGGAGCAACGCCGCGUGAGUGAUGAAGGUCUUCGGAUCGUAAAACUCUGUUAUUAGGGAAGAACAUAUGUGUAAGUAACUGUGCACAUCUUGACGGUACCUAAUCAGAAAGCCACGGCUAACUACGUG